CUCUCUCUCUCUCUCUCUCUCUCUCUCUUCUCGUUGGGGAGAUCGGGUGGCGGUUGCGGGGGAUUCCGGCGAUGUGAUGAGAUUCCGGCGGACUUGCGUCAGAUUUCCGGCAAUGUCGAUGGCAGGGAGGAGCAGACGAGCCGUGCUGUGUUUGGCCGUCGUCCUUUUGAGCGUUUGGCUUCUAGACGGGUGGGCGUGCUUCAACUGUCGGGCGGCGGCAAUUCGGAUAUUUCCGACGAACUCAGGGGCUAAACGUACGGGAGCGCCGCUCAUUGGGCGGAGGCCUGUCCCUCUCCGCCCCUCCGCGGCAGCGGCGGCGGCGGGUGGUUUUGAUGACAGCAAGCGAAGGGUGCCGAGCUGCCCCGAUCCACUCCAUAACCGAUGAUGAAGGGGGAAAAGGAGGCGGCUUUGUAUCAGUAGAAUCUCCUGCGAUUUGUUAUUAAAUUUGUUCUUAAAUCAAUGCCGUUACCUUUACUAGAAAUGUAACUAAGAGGGGAGAUUCUUGGCAUACAGAGUCUUGUUUUAGGUCUGAGAAAAAUAACUGCCGGAAAAUAAAAUUAUAUAUUUUGUUCCA
Phoenix dactylifera (date palm) is the source of this 574-nucleotide non-coding RNA. Lineage: Eukaryota; Viridiplantae; Streptophyta; Magnoliopsida; Arecales; Arecaceae. The record is from RefSeq and is a predicted model, not a curated record.